GGGUUCAUAGCUCAGUGGUAGAGCAAUCGACUGCAGAUCGAUAGGUCUCCAGUUCGAACCUGGAUGGGCCCU
Molecule: transfer RNA, 72 nt
Filed under: Zea mays
Lineage: Eukaryota; Viridiplantae; Streptophyta; Magnoliopsida; Poales; Poaceae
Description: tRNA-Cys (GCA) (tRNA-Cys-GCA-8-1)
Rfam family: tRNA
About the family: Transfer RNA (tRNA) molecules are approximately 80 nucleotides in length. Their secondary structure includes four short double-helical elements and three loops (D, anti-codon, and T loops). Further hydrogen bonds mediate the characteristic L-shaped molecular structure. tRNAs have two regions of fundamental functional importance: the anti-codon, which is responsible for specific mRNA codon recognition, and the 3' end, to which the tRNAs corresponding amino acid is attached (by aminoacyl-tRNA synthetases). tRNAs cope with the degeneracy of the genetic code in two manners: having more than one tRNA (with a specific anti-codon) for a particular amino acid; and 'wobble' base-pairing, i.e. permitting non-standard base-pairing at the 3rd anti-codon position.
Source: Rfam by way of RNAcentral